Molecule: long non-coding RNA, 1265 nt
Organism: Papaver somniferum (opium poppy)
Lineage: Eukaryota; Viridiplantae; Streptophyta; Magnoliopsida; Ranunculales; Papaveraceae
Exons: 3
Source: RefSeq, a predicted model, not a curated record
UCCAUUUUCCUGCUGCAACAGAGCUCCAUCAAUUUCAUCCUUUCUUUUCUACCUUCCGUUCUCCUCCUCUCUUUCACUAUCUAUUUUCUUCGCGAGUUUUCGGCUUAUUUAUGUUCAAUUUUAGAUCUCUCUAUGUUGUUGAUUUAAAGUUUAACAACUAGGGUUUUCUGAUUCUUAGAAUUGAUUGAUGGAAGAAGAAGACGAAGAAGAAGAAUGUUAUUUCGAGGGAUUGAGCUGAAUUGCAGGCAAAGCUGGAUGGAGUGUGGUGUUGUUGCUUUCUGUUGGAAUGUAAGAACUGCAGUAAUGAGAUUAGCACAACUAUUGUUUAAUUCAAAUUGGUGAGACACAUUAAGGAAGCACCAGCUCUAUAUUUCCAAGUGUUCAGAUUUGAGGAGUUAUACUGUUCAUGUUGUAGCUGCGAGUUAACAAAUGCAACACAAAGAUUAAGAUGGCACAUGUAGCUGAAUUUAGUUAGUAUUUAUAUGUUUAAUCCUUGCUGUCUCCAUAGGCUUAUGCGAUUAGACACAUAUAUACUAACUCAAUCUGUGGUGUUCCUGCAAGCAAUAGACAUGGGUUUUCUUAGAAAACUAUAGAUUUCCAUUCAGGAUGCGGGAACUUAUGCGGAGCUUUACCAAUGAUUUAGGCUUCUAUGUGAGCCAGGGAUAGACCAGAGGCAGACAUAAAUCAACAAAAUGUUAUUUUACAGCAACAUCAACAACAACAACAACAACAACGAGAACAACCUCAGCAACAACAGCCACAGAUACAAUAACUCAUAAAUUUGAACAUCUUGUUCUUUUUUAAACAUUAAUUAAAUGCACAGGUGUAAACAUAUAGUGUGUGCUUCCAGAAAUGUUCAUUGGGACAACAGAGGAGGUAUGCUAGGCAGAGGUCGGAACCAGCAAGAAAUAUACAGAAUUUGAUUGUACAACAACAACAGGUUGAAGGCGAGGAUGCAAAUGAAGAUGUUGGAGAUGCAAUUGGGGAUUGAGAAUGUCAAUUUCUUUUGUAGCUGAUCAUUAUCAUAGGUAGGCUUUAAAAUGUUUAUGAAAUAUUUGUAGAGCCUGAAACCCCAUCCAUCUCAAAACAGUAUGGAAUGCGUAAUUUAGGUUUGUCAUGGUAGACAAAAACUAAAAAGCCUAAAACAAUAUCUUAGCUUGAUGUGUUUUUCUUUGCUUGCAAGAGAUUUAUGUUUAAACUUUAUUCAUAUAUAUUUGUGGAAUUAGAUGAAAUUGUUUUUUCAAUUAGAUAAUUAGUUUCGGAAA